UACGUAGGGGGCAAGCGUUAUCCGGAUUUACUGGGUGUAAAGGGAGCGUAGACGGCAGCGCAAGUCUGGAGUGAAAUGCCGGGGCCCAACCCCGGAACUGCUCUGGAAACUGGGAGACUUGAGUGCAGAAGAGGAGAGUGGAACUCCAUGUGUAGCGGUGAAAUGCGUAGAUAUAUGGAAGAACACCAGUGGCGAAAGCGGCUCUCUGGUCUGUAACUGACGCUGAGGUUCGAAAGCGUGGGUAGCAAACAGG
RNAcentral lists this ribosomal RNA (253 nucleotides) under uncultured Eubacteriales bacterium. RNAcentral describes it as "uncultured Clostridiales bacterium partial 16S ribosomal RNA". It matches the Rfam family "Bacterial small subunit ribosomal RNA", at positions 524 to 776 of the family's 1533-position model. The record is from RNAcentral. Lineage: Bacteria; Bacillati; Bacillota; Clostridia; Eubacteriales.